AUUGAACGCUGGCGGAAUGCUGUACACAUGCAAGUCGAACGGCAGCAUAGGUGCUUGCACCUGAUGGCGAGUGGCGAACGGGUGAGUAAUAUAUCGGAACGUGCCCAGUCGUGGGGGAUAACGUAGCGAAAGCUACGCUAAUACCGCAUACGAUCUACGGAUGAAAGCGGGGGACCUUCGGGCCUCGCGCGAUUGGAGCGGCCGAUAUCAGAUUAGGUAGUUGGUGGGGUAAAGGCUCACCAAGCCAACGAUCUGUAGCUGGGCUGAGAGGGCAACCAGCCACACUGGGACAGCGACACGGCCCAGCCUCCUACGGGAGGCAGCAGUGGGGAAGUUUUGACAAUGGACGCAAGUCUGAUCCAGCCAUUCCGCGUGCAGGACGAAGGCCUUCGGGUUGUAAACUGCUUUUGUACAGAACGAAAAGGUUUCUACUAAUACUGGGGGCUCAUGACGGUACUGUAAGAAUAAGCACCGGCUAACUACGUGCCAGCCGCCGCGGUAA
RNAcentral lists this ribosomal RNA (502 nucleotides) under uncultured bacterium. RNAcentral's name for it is "partial 16S ribosomal RNA". It matches the Rfam family "Bacterial small subunit ribosomal RNA", at positions 30 to 523 of the family's 1533-position model. The record is from RNAcentral.